GACGAACGCUGGCGGCGUGCUUAACACAUGCAAGUCGAACGGUAAGGCCCUUCGGGGUACACGAGUGGCGAACGGGUGAGUAACACGUGGGUGAUCUGCCCUGCACUUCGGGAUAAGCCUGGGAAACUGGGUCUAAUACCGGAUAGGACUCCUGGCUUCAUGGUUGGGGGGGGAAAGCUUUUGCGGUGUGGGAUGGGCCCGCGGCCUAUCAGCUUGUUGGUGGGGUAAUGGCCUACCAAGGCGACGACGGGUAGCCGGCCUGAGAGGGUGACCGGUCACACUGGGACUGAGAUACGGCGCAGACUCCUACGGGAGGCAGCAGUGGGGAAUAUUGCACAAUGGGCGCAAGCCUGAUGCAGCGACGCCGCGUGAGGGAUGACGGCCUUCGGGUUGUAAACCUCUUUCAGCUAUGACGAAGCGCAAGUGACGGUAGUAGCAGAAGAAGGACCGGCCAACUACGUGCCAGCAGCCGCCGUAA
Molecule: ribosomal RNA, 478 nt
Filed under: uncultured bacterium
Lineage: Bacteria
Description: partial 16S ribosomal RNA
Rfam family: Bacterial small subunit ribosomal RNA
Source: RNAcentral